UUUGGAGAGGGCUAGUGUUAUUCGCAUUGACUGGGUGUAAAGGGUGCGUAGGUGGUUUAUUAAGUUUCUAGGCAAAUACUAAAUUUAGAGUUUAGAGACCUAUUAAUACUAAUAGACUAGAGUUUAUUAGAAGAUGGCUGAACAUUAAGUGUAAAGGUGAAAUUUUUCGAUAUUUAAAGGACAUGCACUAGGCGAAGGCUGCUAUCUAUUUUAAUACUGACACUGAGGCACAAAAGCAUAGGGAUCAAACAGGAUUAGAGACCCUGGUAGUCUAUGCCCUGACCGAUGAAUAUUGAUUAUAUUUUUAAAAAAUAUAAUUAAGCUAACGCGUAAAUAUUCCACCUGAGUACUACGACCGCAAGGUUAAAACUCAAAGAAACUGACGGAAGAUUGUAUAAGCGGUGGAGUAUGUGGUUUAAUUUGAUAUAACGCAAAGAAUCUUACCAACCCUUGAAUAUAAGUUGUACUUUAUUAAUAAAUUGAAUUUUUCGAUUUAUUAAUCAGUAUCUCUUGCUAGUAAAUUUUAUUUGCAAGUAGACUUAUACAGGUGCUGCAUGGUUGUCGGCAGUCCGUGUUGUGAAAUGUUUUGUUAAUUCAUUUAACGGACGUAACCUUCGGUUAUAUUUGCAUAAAAAUAUAGCAACAUUAAUUCGAAAAUUAAUUGAAAGGAGAAGAAGUCAAAUCAUUAUGGCCUAUAUAGGUUGGGCUACACACGUACUACAAUGGUAAUUUCAAUGUGAAGCAAUGAUGUAAGUCGGAGCUAAUCAUUAAAAAUUAAUCUUAGUUCAGAUUAUUCUCUGCAAGUCGAGAAUAUGAAGUAGGAAUCGCUAGUAAUCGCAGAAAAGAAUGCUGCGGUGAAUUCAUAAAGGGAAUCUU
Molecule: ribosomal RNA, 876 nt
Filed under: uncultured bacterium
Lineage: Bacteria
Description: bacterial SSU rRNA
Rfam family: Bacterial small subunit ribosomal RNA
Source: RNAcentral